GCCGUUAUGGUGAAAUUGCUAAACACGCUGCUUUUAGGAAGGUUAGAGCAUCUCGGUUCGAGUCCGAGUAGCGACA
Molecule: transfer RNA, 76 nt
Filed under: Medicago truncatula (barrel medic)
Lineage: Eukaryota; Viridiplantae; Streptophyta; Magnoliopsida; Fabales; Fabaceae
Rfam family: tRNA
About the family: Transfer RNA (tRNA) molecules are approximately 80 nucleotides in length.
Source: Rfam by way of RNAcentral